Molecule: ribosomal RNA, 253 nt
Filed under: uncultured bacterium
Lineage: Bacteria
Description: partial 16S ribosomal RNA
Rfam family: Bacterial small subunit ribosomal RNA
Source: RNAcentral
UACGUAGGGCGCAAGCAUUGUCCGGAAUUAUUGGGCGUAAAGAGCUCGUAGGCGGCUUGUCACGUCGGGUGUGAAAGCCCGGGGCUUAACCCCGGGUCUGCAUUCGAUACGGGCAGGCUGGAGUUCGGUAGGGGAGAUCGGAAUUCCUGGUGUAGCGGUGAAAUGCGCAGAUAUCAGGAGGAACACCGGUGGCGAAGGCGGGUCUCUGGGCAACAACUGACGCUGAGGAGCGAAAGCGUGGGGAGCGAACAGG